This is a long non-coding RNA of Homo sapiens (human), 707 nucleotides long. Ensembl annotates it as LAMA5 antisense RNA 1. Its record names the gene LAMA5-AS1. Lineage: Eukaryota; Metazoa; Chordata; Mammalia; Primates; Hominidae. The record is from Ensembl.
GUCUGACAGUCAUGACCGCAGCAGCCGGGUGUGAGGGCAGGGCUGGGUAUUCGGAGACCUUCAGAAGCCUGGUCACGGAGGGCCUGCCCAGGGACCCCCCUGCCUCUCCCCCCAGGCCCCACGGCGGCAGAGACUCACAGGCAAAGAACUGCCAGGGCUGGUAGGUGCGGCCGAAGUCCAUGGACCGCUCCAGCACCCAGAGGUCCGGCCGGGGUACGCCCGGGAACAGCUGGGUGCUGUUGGCCAGGUAGGCCUGGAAGCCUAGGGCCCCAAGGGGGAGAGUGGGGUCCCCCAGAGCUGCACAAGACCUACAGUCACCCCACUGGACUGAGCCGGACUGAGACUGCUGUGGGGUCCCCCAUGAAAAGACCACAGACCCCUCAUAGCUUCAGCCCUUGGGGGCACCAGCUGCCCAGACUCCAGACAGGGGCCCUGGACAGCUGUCCUCGAGGGCCUGGUGGCUGCACAGAUGGUCACAGGAAGGGAAGCCCGCGCUGGAGGACUCCCAUCUGUCUCUGACCUGGUCGCGGCUCCCAGGGCCACACCGGCCGCCCUCGCCAUGACCCGGAGCGAGCGCAGACCCCUGGCUUCGGGACCGCCCUUCCCCCUCCACGCCCCGCUCAGCUCAGCUGCCAGUGCUGACCUUUCCGCUGCUACAUGGUUCUGUGCAGAAAGAAAAAAAAAAGUCUUUUAAAGCAAAAGCCAAA